RNAcentral lists this unclassified non-coding RNA (330 nucleotides) under Hevea brasiliensis (rubber tree). The record is from RNAcentral. Lineage: Eukaryota; Viridiplantae; Streptophyta; Magnoliopsida; Malpighiales; Euphorbiaceae.
GAAACUCGUUAUCUGUUUGGCUGUACUCGCCGUGUGCGUCACCGUCUACGCCAGACCUGAAGAGAAGUACACCACCAAGUAUGAUAAUGUAGACCUGGACUCUAUCUUGAAGAACGACAGGUUGCUGAGGAGUUACGUGGAUUGCCUGCUAGGAAAAAGGAAGUGCACCAAUGAUGGAGAGGAACUGAAAAAGAGCCUUCCUGAUGCCAUCAAUACCGAAUGCUCAAAAUGUAGCGAAAAGCAAAAAGAAGGAGCUAGGAAAGUGAUCCACUACCUGAUCGAGAAGAAGCGUGACUGGUGGACGGAACUCGAGAAGGUCUACGACCCUGA